CUGGCGGCGUGCCUAACACAUGCAAGUCGAACGGAGUUACUUAGGACGGAGGAUUCGUCCAAAGACCUUUGUAACUUAGUGGCGAACGGGUGAGUAACGCGUAAGCAAUCUACCUUCAAGAUGGGGACAACACUUCGAAAGGGGUGCUAAUACCGAAUGAAUGUAAGAGUAUCGCAUGAGACACUUACUAAAGGAGGCCUCUGAAAAUGCUUCCGCUUGAAGAUGAGCUUGCGUCUGAUUAGCUAGUUGGUGGGGUAAUGGCCUACCAAGUCGACGAUCAGUAGCCGGACUGAGAGGUUGAACGGCCACAUUGGGACUGAGACACGGCCCAGACUCCUACGGGAGGCAGCAGUGGGGAAUAUUGCACAAUGGGCGCAAGCCUGAUGCAGCAACGCCGCGUGGAGGAAGACGGUUUUCGGAUUGUAAACUCCUGUUCUUAGUGAAGAAUAAUGACGGUAGCUAAGGAGCAAGCCACGGCUAACUACGUG
Molecule: ribosomal RNA, 488 nt
Filed under: uncultured bacterium
Lineage: Bacteria
Description: bacterial SSU rRNA
Rfam family: Bacterial small subunit ribosomal RNA
Source: RNAcentral